RNAcentral lists this non-coding RNA (588 nucleotides) under Pan troglodytes (chimpanzee). The record is from RNAcentral. Lineage: Eukaryota; Metazoa; Chordata; Mammalia; Primates; Hominidae.
CCAACGACCAAAGCAAAGGACAGCAGAACUGACUGACACAUUGCUCAGAAAAUAUCCAAAGCUCUGUAUGCUCUGGAAAGGAAGGCAAGAAAUACUAAAGACUCUGGAUAUUGCUCUGUUUCUAUAAGGUCCCACCCAUAUACCAUCUCUUCUUUUGGAUUUCCUUUGGCAGCUAUACUUGGCCCCAAGGUUUCAACCUCAGACUGAAGAAAGUGACAUAAGAAAACACAAGUCCCAGUGCUAUCAGGGGCUAUCUGGAAAAGCUGCUUAAACAGCAAGUGAAAGAAGGCUCUCCCCUACCCCGUUCUAGACGGAGUUCCACUCUUGUUGCCCAAACUGCAGUGCAAUGGCACAAUCUCGGCUCACGACAACCUCCGCCUCUCAGGUUCAAGUGAUUCUCCUGCCUCAGCCUCGCAAGUAGCUGGGAUUACAGACUCACCCUGAAGUUAUUUGAAGGAUCCUUGAGACUCUUUUGGAUUGCUGCUUGGAGAACAUUCCUGUAACUUGUCCCUGCUCCUUGAACUAUAAAAGCAGAAGGGAGGUACUGAGUUAAAACUUAUAAAUUAUUAUCAAAUAAAUCUUCAAUAG